CCUACGGGAGGCAGCAGUGGGGAAUAUUGGACAAUGGGGGCAACCCUGAUCCAGCCAUGCCGCGUGUGUGAAGAAGGCCCGCGGGUUGUAAAGCACUUUCAGUGAGGAAGAACGCCUGUUGGGUAAUACCCAUCAGGAAAGACAUCACUCACAGAAGAAGCACCGGCUAACUCCGUGCCAGCAGCCGCGGUAAUACGGAGGGUGCGAGCGUUAAUCGGAAUUACUGGGCGUAAAGCGCGCGUAGGUGGCUUGAUAAGCCGGUUGUGAAAGCCCCGGGCUCAACCUGGGAACGGCAUCCGGAACUGUCAAGCUAGAGUGCAGGAGAGGAAGGUAGAAUUCCCGGUGUAGCGGUGAAAUGCGUAGAGAUCGGGAGGAAUACCAGUGGCGAAGGCGGCCUUCUGGACUGACACUGACCCUGAGGUGCGAAAGCGUGGGUAGCAAACAGGAUUAGAUACCCGAGUAGUC
Molecule: ribosomal RNA, 465 nt
Filed under: Vreelandella stevensii
Lineage: Bacteria; Pseudomonadati; Pseudomonadota; Gammaproteobacteria; Oceanospirillales; Halomonadaceae
Description: partial 16S ribosomal RNA
Rfam family: Bacterial small subunit ribosomal RNA
Source: RNAcentral